AGCCGCGGUAUACGUAGGGUGCAAGCGUGUCCGGAAUUACUGGGCGUAAAGAGCUCGUAGGUGGUUUGUCACGUCGUCUGUGAAAUCCACAGCUUAACUGUGGGCGUGCAGGCGAUACGGGCUGACUUGAGUACUGUAGGGGUAACUGGAAUUCCUGGUGUAGCGGUGAAAUGCGCAGAUAUCAGGAGGAACACCGAUGGCGAAGGCAGGUUACUGGGCAGUUACUGACGCUGAGGAGCGAAAGCAUGGGUAGCAAACAGGAUUAGAUACCCUGGUAGUCAAGGGCG
This 287-nucleotide ribosomal RNA is filed under the name uncultured Actinomycetales bacterium. RNAcentral's name for it is "partial 16S ribosomal RNA". It matches the Rfam family "Bacterial small subunit ribosomal RNA", at positions 513 to 802 of the family's 1533-position model. Lineage: Bacteria; Bacillati; Actinomycetota; Actinomycetes; Actinomycetales. The record is from RNAcentral.